UACGAAGGGGGCUAGCGUUGCUCGGAAUUACUGGGCGUAAAGGGCGCGUAGGCGGCCUGCUAAGUCGAACGUGAAAUCCCUGGGCUCAACCCAGGAACUGCGUCCGAUACUGGUUGGCUUGAAUCCGGGAGAGGGAUGUGGAAUUCCAGGUGUAGCGGUGAAAUGCGUAGAUAUCUGGAGGAACACCAGUAGCGAAGGCGGCUCGCUGGGCCAUUCCUGACGCUGAGACGCGAAAGCUAGGGGAGCGAACAGG
Molecule: ribosomal RNA, 253 nt
Filed under: uncultured bacterium
Lineage: Bacteria
Description: partial 16S ribosomal RNA
Rfam family: Bacterial small subunit ribosomal RNA
Source: RNAcentral